This 64-nucleotide transfer RNA is filed under the name Aeschrocoris tuberculatus. Its description in RNAcentral is "tRNA-Pro". RNAcentral also lists the same sequence under 1 other name. Lineage: Eukaryota; Metazoa; Arthropoda; Insecta; Hemiptera; Pentatomidae. The record is from RNAcentral.
CAGCGAGUAGUUUAAUUAAAAUAUUAAUUUUGGAGAUUAAAGAUAAAUUUGUAUUUUUCGCUGA